GGAAGACUUGUUCACUUCAGGUUAGUGGUCGAACAACCACAGUAUGUCACUGUUAUUUAACAGCAUUCUACCAUAUUUUACUAUCUGCGCCAUUUUGGAUUAUCAGCAUGAGGCAAAGUAUUUCUGAAAACAACGCUAAGAUAUGCUGGUUAGCGGAAAACUUCUGAAACAGUGACUGGGUAGCGUUAGCUUAAACAGGAGAUUCAAAUGCUCGUGACUAAAAGGAGUCUGACAACAGCCAGUGCUCCACAUAGAGAUCUGAUCUCAUCAUCAUCAUCAUCAUCCAGUCUGUUUGAAAUGACAUGAAGAACCAGAACAAACUGAGACAAAGUAAAUCCAGAAGACCUGUGGCAACGUCUCCAAGAUGCUUCAAGAAACCUACCUUUUAACUGUUGUUGAACCGGCUUGUAUGUUGUAAACCAUGUUUUCAUUUGUUUGUUAAAGUGAGAGUUCACCCAAAAAUGAAGAUUCU
This is a long non-coding RNA of Triplophysa rosa, 472 nucleotides long. RefSeq lists it as uncharacterized. NCBI's taxonomy places the organism in Eukaryota, Metazoa, Chordata, Actinopteri, Cypriniformes, Nemacheilidae. The transcript has 3 exons. The record is from RefSeq and is a predicted model, not a curated record.